Molecule: ribosomal RNA, 683 nt
Filed under: uncultured bacterium
Lineage: Bacteria
Description: bacterial SSU rRNA
Rfam family: Bacterial small subunit ribosomal RNA
Source: RNAcentral
CCUAACACAUGCAAGUCGAACGGGAACCGGAGCAUACUUGCUUUUUGGCUGAGUGCUGGGGGAAGGGUGAAUAGUGUCUGGAAAACUGCCUGAUGGAGGGGGAUAACUACUGAAAACGGUAGCUAAUACCGCAUAAUGCCGCAAGACCUCACAGGGGGACCUUCUGGCCUCUUGCCAUCUGAUGUGCCCAGAUGGGAUUAUGUAGUAGGUGGGGUAACGGCUCACCUAGGCGACCAUCCCUGCCUGGACUGAUAGGAGGACCGACCACACUGGAACUGACACACGGUCCGAACUCCUACGGGAAGCCCCACUGGGGAAUAUUGCACAAUGGACUCAAGCCUGAUGCAGCCCUGCCGCGUGUAUGACGAAGGCCUUCGGGUUGUAAAGUACUUUCAGCGGUCAGGAAGGGAGUAAAGUUAAUACCUUUGCUCAUUGACGUUACCCGCAGAAGAAGCACCGGCUAACUCCGUGCCAACACCCGCGGUAAUACGCGAGGGUGCAAGCGUUAAUCGCGAAUUACUGGCCGUAAAGCGCACGCAAGCGGUUUGUUAAGUCUUAUGUGAAAUCCCCGGGCUCAACCUGGGAACUGCAUCUGAUACUGGAAUGCUUGAGUCUCGUAAAUCGCGGUAGUAUUCCAGGUGUAGCGGUGAAAUGCGUAGAGAUCUGGAGGAAUACGCGGUGGU